This 253-nucleotide ribosomal RNA is filed under the name uncultured organism. RNAcentral describes it as "partial 16S ribosomal RNA". It matches the Rfam family "Bacterial small subunit ribosomal RNA", at positions 524 to 776 of the family's 1533-position model. The record is from RNAcentral.
UACGGGGGGGGCAAGCGUUGUUCGGAAUUACUGGGUUUAAAGGGUGCGUAGGCGGACUUAUAAGUCAGUGGUGAAAUCCCGCAGCUCAACUGCGGAACUGCCAUUGAAACUAUUUGUCUUGAGUACAUUUGAGGCGGGCGGAAUGUGUCAUGUAGAGGUGAAAUUCUUAGAUAUGACACAGAACACCAAUUGCGAAGGCAGCUCGCUAAACUGUAACUGACGCUGAGGCACGAAAGCGUGGGGAUCAAACAGG